This 474-nucleotide ribosomal RNA is filed under the name uncultured bacterium. RNAcentral describes it as "SSU rRNA". It matches the Rfam family "Bacterial small subunit ribosomal RNA", at positions 26 to 518 of the family's 1533-position model. The record is from RNAcentral.
AGGAUAAACGCUGGCGGCGUGCAUGAGACAUGCAAGUCGAACGGACGAUCAGGGCUUGCUCUGAUCGUUAGUGGCGGACGGCUGAGUAGCGCGUAGGUGACCUGCCCCGAAGUGGGGAAUAACUGCCCGAAAGGGUGGCUAAUACCGCAUGUGGUGGUGUGUUCAAUCACACCAGUAAAGCCGCAAGGCGCUUCGGGAGGGGCCUGCGUCCGAUUAGCUCGUUGGUGGGGUAACGGCUCACCAAGGCGACGAUCGGUAGGUGGUCUGAGAGGACGAUCACCCAGACUGGGACUGAGACACGGCCCAGACUCCUACGGGAGGCAGCAGUCGGGAAUUUUUGCGCAAUGGACGAAAGUCUGACGCAGCAACGCCGCGUGAGGGAUGAAGGCCUUCGGGUUGUAAACCUCUUUUAUCAGGGAAGAUAAUGACGGUACCUGAUGAAUAAGUCACGGCUAACUACGUGCCAGCAGCCGC